GCCGUGAUCGUAUAGUGGAUAGAACAUUGCGUUGUGGCCGCAAUAACCCAGGUUCAAAUCCUGGUCACGGCA
This 72-nucleotide transfer RNA is filed under the name Nematostella vectensis (starlet sea anemone). It matches the Rfam family "tRNA". From Rfam's summary of the family: Transfer RNA (tRNA) molecules are approximately 80 nucleotides in length. Their secondary structure includes four short double-helical elements and three loops (D, anti-codon, and T loops). Further hydrogen bonds mediate the characteristic L-shaped molecular structure. tRNAs have two regions of fundamental functional importance: the anti-codon, which is responsible for specific mRNA codon recognition, and the 3' end, to which the tRNAs corresponding amino acid is attached (by aminoacyl-tRNA synthetases). tRNAs cope with the degeneracy of the genetic code in two manners: having more than one tRNA (with a specific anti-codon) for a particular amino acid; and 'wobble' base-pairing, i.e. permitting non-standard base-pairing at the 3rd anti-codon position. The record is from Rfam by way of RNAcentral. Lineage: Eukaryota; Metazoa; Cnidaria; Anthozoa; Actiniaria; Edwardsiidae.